Molecule: small nuclear RNA, 169 nt
Filed under: Nicotiana attenuata
Lineage: Eukaryota; Viridiplantae; Streptophyta; Magnoliopsida; Solanales; Solanaceae
Description: snRNA U2
Rfam family: U2 spliceosomal RNA
About the family: U2 is a small nuclear RNA (snRNA) component of the spliceosome (involved in pre-mRNA splicing). Complementary binding between U2 snRNA (in an area lying towards the 5' end but 3' to hairpin I) and the branchpoint sequence (BPS) of the intron results the bulging out of an unpaired adenosine, on the BPS, which initiates a nucleophilic attack at the intronic 5' splice site, thus starting the first of two transesterification reactions that mediate splicing.
Source: Rfam by way of RNAcentral
CUACCUUUCUCGGCCUUUUGGCUAAGAUUAAGUGUAGUAUAUGUCGAGGAUUUGUUCACACCUAGUGAUCCUUUUGUUCAGAUUGUCUCAUUAUAGCUAUAUGGAGAGCAUCUUCUAAUUCAUCUGUUAUAAUUAUAUUUCAGAACUUUGGUUCCAGAACAGAUACAGU